GGGAAGCCAGAGGUCCGGGCUGAGGUCCCUGUGCCACAGGUUCUCAGCACGAUGCCUUACUGCGCGAGCCCAAACUUGUGUGCCUCAGCUUCCUUGUCGGCUUCGAGGGGAUAAAGAUGCCUGUCCUGGGCUGGCCUGGGGUUGGGUGGUGCCCCUGCAUCCCCAAGUGGAUGGUGAGCCAGAGGGCAGGAGCCACAGCUUCCUCGGUGCUGCGUGCAGAAGGGGAAGAAGGGCAGCCGGUGGGAACCGGGACCCAGGCGGAGAGGAAGGCCAGGUGUCUCCACUUAUCAUAAGAGUCUCCAGCGUACAGUUCUCGGUACAGUUCUCCAGAAUGAGGAAACAGAAGUCACCUGCUCAGGGUCACACAGCUGCUCACCAGCGCAGCCUUAACCCAAUCCCGGGCGGCACUCCUGGCACUGUGCUCGUAACCACUCUGCUGUCCUGCCUGGCCCUCCCUGGACCGCUCUGCAAUCUCUGGGCAAGUCUGGAAUGGAGUGUCCAGCCCCCCAUCUGACACGUGCAGGCUCUGUCUUCUCUGCUUCCAGACUUCAUCCAGACCCCGGGCAUGGGGGAAAACCGGUUGGAUGGGGGAGCCCAGGGGUUCCUGGGGUGAGGGAAUAAAGGAGUGGUUAUUCUUAGCCUGGACUCUUAGUAUCCUAUUCAUAGGCAAGGCCUCCCGGGGGACGGGCCUCCGGGCUCUAACCCUCUAACCGCAGGCACUGGACUCAGCGGAUCAUCAUCGCAGCGCCUGUGCAAGGCGGUCUGCUGACCCAGCCCUGGGCAGCCGGC
This is a long non-coding RNA of Bos taurus (domestic cattle), 789 nucleotides long. The record is from Ensembl. Lineage: Eukaryota; Metazoa; Chordata; Mammalia; Artiodactyla; Bovidae.